GAUGAAGAACGUAGCGAAAUGCGAUACGUAAUGUGAAUUGCAGAAUUCAGUGAAUCAUCGAAUCUUUGAACGCACAUGGCGCCUUCCAGUAUCCUGGGAGGCAUGCCUGUCCGAGCGUCGUUUCAACCCUCGAGCCCCCGUGGCCCGGCGUUGGGGAUCUGCCACGGCAGGCCCCUAAAACCAGUGGCGGACCCGAAGGCCCUCUCCUUUGCGCAGUAGCAUCAGCCUCGCAUUGGGAUCCCUCGGCGUCCUGCCUCUAAACCCCCCACAAGUCCGCUCCGGCGGCACCAAGGUUGACCUCGGAUCAGGUAGGAAUACCCGCUGAACUUAAGCAUAUCAAUAAGCGGAGGA
RNAcentral lists this unclassified non-coding RNA (351 nucleotides) under soil metagenome. RNAcentral describes it as "partial contains 5.8S ribosomal RNA, internal transcribed spacer 2, and large subunit ribosomal RNA". The stretch from base 1 to 120 matches the Rfam family "5.8S ribosomal RNA", at positions 35 to 154 of the family's 154-position model. The record is from RNAcentral.